GACGAACGCUGGCGGCGUGCUUAACACAUGCAAGUCGAACGGUAAGGCUCCAGCUUGCUGGGGUACACGAGUGGCGAACGGGUGAGUAACACGUGGGUGACCUGCCCUGCACUUCGGGAUAAGCCUGGGAAACUGGGUCUAAUACCGGAUAGGACCGCACCGUGAGGGUGUGGUGGAAAGUUUUUUCGGUGUGGGAUGGGCCCGCGGCCUAUCAGCUUGUUGGUGGGGUAAUGGCCUACCAAGGCGGCGACGGGUAGCCGGCCUGAGAGGGUGGACGGCCACAUUGGGACUGAGACACGGCCCAGACUCCUACGGGAGGCAGCAGUGGGGAAUAUUGCACAAUGGGCGGAAGCCUGAUGCAGCGACGCCGCGUGGGGGAUGACAGCCUUCGGGUUGUAAACUCCUUUCACCAUCGACGAAGGGUUUCUGACGGUAGAUGGAGAAGAAGCACCGGCUAACUACGUGCCAGCAGCCGCGGUAAUACGUAGGGUGCGAGCGUUGUCCGGAAUUACUGGGCGUAAAGAGCUCGUAGGUGGUUUGUCGCGUCGUCUGUGAAAUUCCGGGGCUUAACUCCGGGCGUGCAGGCGAUACGGGCAUAACUUGAGUACUGUAGGGGAGACUGGAAUUCCUGGUGUAGCGGUGAAAUGCGCAGAUAUCAGGAGGAACACCGGUGGCGAAGGCGGGUCUCUGGGCAGUAACUGACGCUGAGGAGCGAAAGCAUGGGGAGCGAACAGGAUUAGAUACCCUGGUAGUCCAUGCCGUAAACGGUGGGCGCUAGGUGUGGGUUUCCUUCCACGGGAUCCGUGCCGUAGCUAACGCAUUAAGCGCCCCGCCUGGGGAGUACGGCCGCAAGGCUAAAACUCAAAGGAAUUGACGGGGGCCCGCACAAGCGGCGGAGCAUGUGGAUUAAUUCGAUGCAACGCGAAGAACCUUACCUGGGCUUGACAUAUACAGGAUCGCGCCAGAGAUGGUGUUUCCCUUGUGGCUUGUAUACAGGUGGUGCAUGGUUGUCGUCAGCUCGUGUCGUGAGAUGUUGGGUUAAGUCCCGCAACGAGCGCAACCCUUGUCUUAUGUUGCCAGCACGUUGUGGUGGGGACUCGUAAGAAACUGCCGGGGUUAACUCGGAGGAAGGUGGGGAUGACGUCAAAUCAUCAUGCCCCUUAUGUCCAGGGCUUCACACAUGCUACAAUGGUCGGUACAGUGGGUUGCCAGUCCGUGAGGGCGAGCUAAUCCCGCAAAGCCGGUCUCAGUUCGGAUCGGGGUCUGCAACUCGACCCCGUGAAGUCGGAGUCGCUAGUAAUCGCAGAUCAGCAACGCUGCGGUGAAUAAAUUCCCGGGCCU
This 1341-nucleotide ribosomal RNA is filed under the name uncultured bacterium. RNAcentral's name for it is "16S ribosomal RNA". It matches the Rfam family "Bacterial small subunit ribosomal RNA", at positions 28 to 1381 of the family's 1533-position model. The record is from RNAcentral.